Molecule: ribosomal RNA, 497 nt
Filed under: uncultured bacterium
Lineage: Bacteria
Description: partial 16S ribosomal RNA
Rfam family: Bacterial small subunit ribosomal RNA
Source: RNAcentral
GAUGAACGCUGGCGGCGUGCCUAAUACAUGCAAGUCGAGCGAACAGACGAGGAGCUUGCUCCUCUGACGUUAGCGGCGGACGGGUGAGUAACACGUGGAUAACCUACCUAUAAGACUGGGAUAACUUCGGGAAACCGGAGCUACUACCGGAUAAUAUAUUGAACCGCAUGGUUCAAUAGUGAAAGACGGUUUUGCUGUCACUUAUAGCUGGAUCCGCGCCGCAUUAGCUAGUUGGUAAGGUAACGGCUUACCAAGGCAACGAUGCGUAGCCGACCUGAGAGGGUGAUCGGCCACACUGGAACUGAGACACGGUCCAGACUCCUACGGGAGGCAGCAGUAGGGAAUCUUCCGCAAUGGGCGAAAGCCUGACGGAGCAACGCCGCGUGAGUGAUGAAGGUCUUCGGAUCGUAAAACUCUGUUAUUAGGGAAGAACAAAUGUGUAAGUAACCAUGCACGUCUUGACGGUACCUAAUCAGAAAGCCACGGCUAACUACGUG